RNAcentral lists this long non-coding RNA (382 nucleotides) under Cricetulus griseus (Chinese hamster). RNAcentral's name for it is "lncRNA (ENSCGRG00000024325.1)". The record is from RNAcentral. Lineage: Eukaryota; Metazoa; Chordata; Mammalia; Rodentia; Cricetidae.
CCCGCCCUAACCUGAGGGCGGCUCCAGAACUGUCCUUUUCUUCACUGGCCCUGGCGCCGCUGAUCUUCCAAAGCUUCUCUCUCAUGACACCUCUUGGAAGGUAAAGAAAGGGUUAGGAGAUGUGGGUUGGCUAGGUCACUCCUGGAGCUCGGUAGAAAAACAGAUGAUGCUUCUGUCUACCUGUAAAUUCUUAGGGAAUGUUUUCUUGACAGUUUUCCGACUUAGACCCGUAGAGAAUUGGAGAACUAUGGACCCUCUCUCUAGAAAAAUGCUCACCCACACAGAAGCAGAGUUUUGCAUGGUAUUGCAGGGCGUUUUGAAACUUCUCAAGUGUCAAGACCGCCAACUUCAGACCUCUACAGGUGCCUGCGGGAGUUUAUAA